This 250-nucleotide ribosomal RNA is filed under the name uncultured bacterium. Its description in RNAcentral is "partial 16S ribosomal RNA". It matches the Rfam family "Bacterial small subunit ribosomal RNA", at positions 524 to 773 of the family's 1533-position model. The record is from RNAcentral.
UACGUAGGGUGCAAGCGUUAAUCGGAAUUACUGGGCGUAAAGCGUGCGCAGGCGGUUGUGUAAGUCUGAUGUGAAAGCCCCGGGCUCAACCUGGGAACUGCAUUGGAGACUGCACAGCUAGAGUGCGUCAGAGGGGGGUAGAAUUCCGCGUGUAGCAGUGAAAUGCGUAGAGAUGCGGAGGAAUACCGAUGGCGAAGGCAGCCCCCUGGGAUGACACUGACGCUCAUGCACGAAAGCGUGGGGAGCAAAC